GUGGCAUACGGCUCAGUAACACGUAGUCAACAUGCCCAGGGGACGUGGAUAACCUCGGGAAACUGAGGAUAAACCGCGAUAGGCCAAGAUUUCUGGAAUGAGUCAUGGCUCAAAUCUAUAUGGCCCCUGGAUUGGACUGCGGCCGAUCAGGCUGUUGGUGAGGUAAUGGCCCACCAAACCUGUAACCGGUACGGGCUCUGAGAGGAGGAGCCCGGAGAUGGGCACUUAGACAAGGGCCCAGGCCCUAUGGGGCGCAGCAGGCGCGAAACCUCUGCAAUAAGCGAAAGCUUGACAGGGUUACUCUGAGUGAUUUCCGCUAAGGAAGUCUUUUGGCACCUCUAAAAAUGGUGCAGAAUAAGGGGUGGGCAAGUCUGGUGUCAGCCGCCGCGGUAAUACCAGCACCCCGAGUGGUCGGGACGAUUAUUGGGCCUAAAGCAUCCGUAGCCGGCCUUACAAGUCCUCCGUUAAAUCCAGCUGCUUAACAGAUGGGCUGCGGAGGAUACUAUAAGACUAGGAGGCAGGAGAGGCAAGCGGUACUCAGUGGGUAGGGGUAAAAUCCGUUGAUCCAUUGAAGACCACCAGUGGCGAAGGCGGCUUGCCAGAAUGCGCUCGACGGUGAGGGAUGAAAGCUGGGGGAGCAAACCGGAUUAGAUACCCGGGUAGUCCCAGCCGUAAACGAUGCAGACUCGGUGAUGGACUAGCUUUAUGCUG
Molecule: ribosomal RNA, 711 nt
Filed under: uncultured archaeon
Lineage: Archaea
Description: bacterial SSU rRNA
Rfam family: Archaeal small subunit ribosomal RNA
Source: RNAcentral